This is a long non-coding RNA of Mesocricetus auratus (golden hamster), 1152 nucleotides long. RefSeq lists it as uncharacterized. The transcript is spliced from 2 exons. Lineage: Eukaryota; Metazoa; Chordata; Mammalia; Rodentia; Cricetidae. The record is from RefSeq and is a predicted model, not a curated record.
CCCUUCCUCCCUCCCUCCCUCUCCCUCCCUCUCUCGCUCCCUCCCUCCAUCAUGAGAAAUUUUUCUCUAUAGGUCGUGUCUAUAUGUGUAUGGGUUUGGGCACCUGAGUGCCUUGCCUUGGAAGUCUGGAGGUGGGCGGCAGAGACUCCUGAAAUUGGAGUUACGGGGGUCUGUGAGCCACCUGACCCAGGUGCUGGGAACUGAACUCAUGACCUUUGGAAGAGCAAGGAGUGAUAUUAAGGGCUGGCUUAUGUCUUCAACCCUUUUUUUUUUUUUUUUUUUUUGAGUCAGAGUCUCAGGGACCCCCACAACCAGCCUUAAACUUGCUGUGGAGACAAGAGUGACCUUGAACUCCUGGCUCUCCUGCCUUCACCUCCCAAGUGCUAGGAUGGCAGGCAUGAGUCACCACCUCCGUGUCAGGGGUGGAAAGGAGGGCAUCCUGCAAUCCAGCGUCUGCACGGAACUAUCUGCAGCUCCCUACUACUCUGAACAUGCCUUGGGUGGAACUGUAGUCCGUUAAGAAAAGAAGACGGAAGCUGUGUCCUGCGUCUGACACCCGGUUCUCCACCCAUCCUCCCAGCAGAGCCUAGGAGAGGGACGGGGUCGUCACAGCUGUGUCCACCCUGGAAAAAAAAAACGAGAGAGCUGGCAGCAAGACGGCCCCUUGCCCCGAGUGGACCUCUCCUUCCUUCCUUCCUUCCUUCCAUUGUUUUAGUUUGGCACUCCUCCUUGAGGAGGCCAGGCUCAGGAUGGCUUGAACUCCCGAUCCUCCUGCCUCCACUUCCCAAGUGUGGGGUCUCCUCCAGGGCUUUGCAAGCCUGUGCAACAGAGUCACAACCCCAGCCUCUGUCUCUCUUGUAGGGCCUACAGAAGCAGAUCCUAACAGGAGUGUCCAGCAAGGGGACCCAGGGUGAGUGACAGUGGAGCCGGAUGUGGGCUUUACUCUACCCCCAGCUGAGCCUGAGGAGAUCCUUUGGACUUCCACUAAAGACAAGCCGGGAGCUUUUUGAGGUUUUGUUCUUUUCACUUGCUUUUUGUUUUUUUUGUUUUUUGAGACAGGUGUGUCAUGUAGUCCAGGCUAGCCUUGAAAUCCCUUGGUAGCCUGGGCCACCACCACACCCAAGUAACAAAGUUGGAUUUCUAAAAAUUUUA